Molecule: non-coding RNA, 702 nt
Organism: Jatropha curcas
Lineage: Eukaryota; Viridiplantae; Streptophyta; Magnoliopsida; Malpighiales; Euphorbiaceae
Source: RefSeq, a predicted model, not a curated record
UUUCAAUAUUUUUAGAAGUUUCAAAUUCAUCACUAAAACACUACAUAUUUUAGGUUGUUCAAUAUAAUAUUAUAGGCAUUUUCUUGAUAAAAACCGAAGAUCACUAACAAUAUAUAAGUUUUGUGAAAUCUUGAAUUUCAAUCGACAUUGUGAAACGGCCUUCUAAAGUUAACACCACUAGAUAUUUAUGUAGUAAAAAACUUAUAAACUGUGAUAAUUAUUUGAAUUUUUUUUCAUUUGUAUAUCUUUAAACUUUUACUUUACGUACGAAUAAUUAUCUAAUAUAUAUUUAAGACCACAAUUUUAUUAAUAAAUUUUUAAAUAUUUUAUAAAUUUUUUAAAAUAAUGUUUAAAAAAAUAUUCAGGAGGUAUCUUGAAAUCUAAAAAAUUAAUAAAAUUUAUAAAAAAAAUAUGAAAAAUUUUUUUUCCUAGAUUGGUCGCUGCACUGCACAAAGCAAAUAAAUGAAAUGAAUUCCACAGUUUAAUAAUGUUAUUUUUUAUUUUAAUCACAAACCCAUUGGCCCGAGAGUAUAAAUAUCGUGCCCAGACAGAGCACAAACUUGCAAUGUUAGAAAGUCAAUCUUCUUUGUCUAGCAAAGAAUCUAAGGUUAAACUAGGUUUGGAUGGCUUGGGAUUAGAUGUUUGAGUUUGUUUAGGUUUUUCAUAGUCAUAUUAAUACUGAUAAAAUAAAUUAUUUUACUG